Molecule: transfer RNA, 64 nt
Filed under: Spondylis buprestoides
Lineage: Eukaryota; Metazoa; Arthropoda; Insecta; Coleoptera; Cerambycidae
Description: tRNA-Cys
Source: RNAcentral
AGCCUUAUAGUCAAUUUUAUGAUUUUAAAUUGCAAAUUUAAAGUUAGCUUUAAGCUUAAGGCUU